GGUUUGAAAAGUCAGCUGUGAAAGCCCCGGGCUCAACCUGGGAACUGCGGUUGAAACUCUCAAGCUAGAGUGCGUCAGAGGGGGGUGGAAUUCCACGUGUAGCAGUGAAAUGCGUAGAGAUGUGGAGGAACACCAAUGGCGAAGGCAGCCCCCUGGGAUGACACUGACGCUCAUGCACGAAAGCGUGGGGAGCAAACAGGAUUAGAUACCCUGGUAGUCCACGCCCUAAACGAUGUCGACUAGCCGUUGGAGAUUUCGGUUUCUGGUGGCGCAGCUAACGCGUGAAGUCGACCGCCUGG
Molecule: ribosomal RNA, 299 nt
Filed under: Laribacter hongkongensis
Lineage: Bacteria; Pseudomonadati; Pseudomonadota; Betaproteobacteria; Neisseriales; Aquaspirillaceae
Description: partial 16S ribosomal RNA
Rfam family: Bacterial small subunit ribosomal RNA
Source: RNAcentral